This 318-nucleotide ribosomal RNA is filed under the name uncultured Fastidiosipila sp. RNAcentral describes it as "bacterial SSU rRNA". It matches the Rfam family "Bacterial small subunit ribosomal RNA", at positions 1050 to 1382 of the family's 1533-position model. The record is from RNAcentral. Lineage: Bacteria; Bacillati; Bacillota; Clostridia; Eubacteriales; Oscillospiraceae.
UGUCGUCAGCUCGUGUCGUGAGAUGUUCGGUUAAGUCCGCUAACGAGCGCAACCCUCGGCUGUGUGUUACAAGUGUCACACAGGACCGCCGGUCUUAAGCCGGAGGAAGUGGGGAUGACGUCAAGUCAGCAUGGCCUUUAUGUCCAGGGCUACACACACGCUACAAUGGUCAGCACAAUAGGUAGCCAAGCCGCGAGGUGGAGCCAAUCCUCAAAGCUGGCCUCAGUUCAGAUCGCAGGCUGCAACCCGCCUGCGUGAAGCCGGAGUUGCUAGUAACCGCAGGUCAGCUAUACUGCGGUGAAUACGUUCCCGGGCCUU